This 468-nucleotide ribosomal RNA is filed under the name uncultured bacterium. RNAcentral describes it as "partial 16S ribosomal RNA". It matches the Rfam family "Bacterial small subunit ribosomal RNA", at positions 28 to 507 of the family's 1533-position model. The record is from RNAcentral.
GACGAACGCUGGCGGCGUGCUUAACACAUGCAAGUCGAACGGAAAGGCCCUGCUUUUGUGGGGUGCUCGAGUGGCGAACGGGUGAGUAACACGUGAGUAACCUGCCCUUGACUUUGGGAUAACUUCAGGAAACUGGGGCUAAUACCGGAUAGGAGCUCCUGCUGCAUGGUGGGGGUUGGAAAGUUUCGGCGGUUGGGGAUGGACUCGCGGCUUAUCAGCUUGUUGGUGGGGUAGUGGCUUACCAAGGCUUUGACGGGUAGCCGGCCUGAGAGGGUGACCGGCCACAUUGGGACUGGGAUACGGCCCAGACUCCUUCGGGAGGCAGCAGUGGGGGAUAUUGCAACAUGGGCGGAAGCCUGAUGCAGCAACGCCGCGUGCGGGAUUGCGGCCUUCGGGUUGUAAACCGCUUUCGCCUGGGACGAAGCGGGAGUGACGGUAAUGGGUAAAGAAGAAACGGCUAACUACGUG